This 65-nucleotide transfer RNA is filed under the name Dipodomys ordii (Ord's kangaroo rat). It matches the Rfam family "tRNA". Rfam says of the family: Transfer RNA (tRNA) molecules are approximately 80 nucleotides in length. Their secondary structure includes four short double-helical elements and three loops (D, anti-codon, and T loops). Lineage: Eukaryota; Metazoa; Chordata; Mammalia; Rodentia; Heteromyidae. The record is from Rfam by way of RNAcentral.
GGUGACUCAGUGGUAGAGUGCUUGCCUUGCUUGCAUGAGGACCUGAGUUUGAUUCCUCAGCACCA